This 77-nucleotide transfer RNA is filed under the name Candidatus Sumerlaeota bacterium. RNAcentral describes it as "tRNA-Arg". It matches the Rfam family "tRNA". Rfam says of the family: Transfer RNA (tRNA) molecules are approximately 80 nucleotides in length. Their secondary structure includes four short double-helical elements and three loops (D, anti-codon, and T loops). Lineage: Bacteria; Candidatus Sumerlaeota. The record is from RNAcentral.
GCGCUUGUAGCUCAAUUGGAUAGAGCGCCUGACUACGGAUCAGAAGGUUAGGGGUUCAAGUCCCUUCAAGCGCGCCA